UUCACCUUCCCCUCACGUUAAAAAGACAGGUUGCAUCACGCCAGGUGUUUCCUACUGAACAGAGCUCACCCUUCCUUGGUCAACGUUCUCGACUUUAGGAAUAAAUUUAUGGGGAAUUCCCUUAUCGUAGGACCUUCCCUGGAGUCUUUCCUCGCCUCUACAUAGGAUUCCCCCGGCCAGGCUCUCCCUCAGUCGCUCCCAGCCCGUGCCGCCGAGACGAGGGAAGGAGCAGCGCAGGACUCUCUUAAUCCUGCAACAGUGAAGGCGAAGAAUCCUGCGCCUGUGUCCUGCACGCUCUUGGAAGUCACGUCGAAGCCAUGAAGGUCACCGGGUGGACAGCUGUGAUGGGCGUGGUGCUGAUGGGGCUGGUGCUGGUGCUGGGGCCGUCCAUCACAGGGGUGGAGGCGGGCAGCAGACACAUACGAGAAAUUCUCAGACCCAACAAGUUUGUCUUGCUCGGCAGCCCAGGAACCAGACCGUCAGCGGGUGCCAUACGACCCUGUGCCCGCCGUCCGUGCAGAAGACCACUCAUCACAACAUGGUGGGUCUAAGGGUAACCAAGAGACCAACGAGGACGCCACACCCUCCCCUGAUGUGUGGGCGUGAUGGCCACCUCCCCGCGCCGCCGAGCCGUGGCUGACGCGCGCGGCGAGACUCACGAACUGAUCUCGCAACAAUCUUCUUAUCUAUCUAUCUAUCUUUCUGUCUGUCAAUAUAUCUAUCCCUUUAUCUAUCAGUCUACCUAUUUAUCUAUCUAUCUAUGUCUUGCCAGCGGACUUCCAUUGCUUCUUCCUUCUUUCCUUCCUUUCUUUCUUCCCUCCUACCUUCCUUCAUUCCUUCCUUCCUUCCUUCACGUGCAAUGCCUCUUCACCCUCGACACAAAAAAUAGAUCUACGUAACUCCUAACCCUUCAAAUAUGUUUCAAGAAUGUACACGCGAAUAUAUAUAGAGGUGGAACUUUUUAUUGUUCUUUUCCUCACA
Eriocheir sinensis (Chinese mitten crab) is the source of this 981-nucleotide long non-coding RNA. RefSeq lists it as uncharacterized. The transcript is spliced from 4 exons. NCBI's taxonomy places the organism in Eukaryota, Metazoa, Arthropoda, Malacostraca, Decapoda, Varunidae. The record is from RefSeq and is a predicted model, not a curated record.